RNAcentral lists this ribosomal RNA (97 nucleotides) under uncultured bacterium. RNAcentral describes it as "partial 16S ribosomal RNA". It matches the Rfam family "Bacterial small subunit ribosomal RNA", at positions 1386 to 1482 of the family's 1533-position model. The record is from RNAcentral.
CACACCGCCCGUCACACCAUGGGAGUUUGUUGCACCAGAAGCAGGUAGCCUAACCGCAAGGGGGGCGCUUGCCACGGUGUGGCCGAUGACUGGGGUG